UCCCCGGUGGCUCAGACGGUAAAGCAUCUGCCUGCAAUGCAGGAGACCCAGGUUCAAUCCCUGGGUUGGGAA
Molecule: transfer RNA, 72 nt
Filed under: Bos taurus (domestic cattle)
Lineage: Eukaryota; Metazoa; Chordata; Mammalia; Artiodactyla; Bovidae
Also listed under: 1 other name
Rfam family: tRNA
About the family: Transfer RNA (tRNA) molecules are approximately 80 nucleotides in length. Their secondary structure includes four short double-helical elements and three loops (D, anti-codon, and T loops).
Source: Rfam by way of RNAcentral